AAGUAGAUAAGGGCGUGUGGGGAAUGCCUUGGCUCUCAGAGACGAUGAAGGACGCGAUAAGCUGCGAUAAGCUUCGGGGAUUAGCACAUAUGAAUUGAUCCGAAGAUUUCCGAAUGGGACAACCCAGCUAGUUGAAGACUAGUUAUCCAGCAAUGGAGGUUAACCCGGGGAACUGAAACAUCUAAGUACCCGGAGGAAGAGAAAACAAUAGUGAUUCCGCAAGUAGUGGCGAGCGAACGCGGAACAGCCCAAACCUUGAUCGUUACGGCGGUUGAGGGGUUGUAGGACUGUAACAUGGAAUUUAUAAUGAACAAGAAUGAUCUGGGAAGGUCAACCGAAGAGGGUGAAAGUCCCGUAUUGGUAAAAUUAUAAUACCUAACAGUAUCCUGAGUAAGACGGGACCGGAGAAAUCCCGUUUGAAUCCACCGGCACCAUCCGGUAAGGCUAAAUACUCCUG
Molecule: ribosomal RNA, 457 nt
Filed under: Thalassiosira antarctica
Lineage: Eukaryota; Bacillariophyta; Thalassiosirophyceae; Thalassiosirales; Thalassiosiraceae
Description: partial Bacterial large subunit ribosomal RNA
Rfam family: Bacterial large subunit ribosomal RNA
Source: RNAcentral